RNAcentral lists this long non-coding RNA (1732 nucleotides) under Zostera marina. RNAcentral's name for it is "long non-coding RNA (ZMAR_LNC001538)". The record is from RNAcentral. Lineage: Eukaryota; Viridiplantae; Streptophyta; Magnoliopsida; Alismatales; Zosteraceae.
UCCUACGAGGACGUGAAUGUAGAUUUGAAGAAUAAGAGCGAACUUUUACUCCAAUCCAAUCCCAUCUACAAGAAAAUCCCGGUGCUUCUCCAUGCAGGUCGUGCCAUAUGUGAGUCUCUGAUCAUCGUAGACUACAUCGAUGCCACCUGGAAUUCCACAUCUAUCUUGCCGCUCGACCCUUAUGACUGCUCCGUCGCAAAGUUCUGGGCCGUCUUUAUAGAUGACAAGGCAUGGCAUGCACCACUACUACUCAUCAUUCUAUGUUUGAUUUUUCCAGCUUGGACUGAUCAACGAGUUCAUUUAUCUAAUUAUAUAUUUACAGAUACCGUCAGCUAUUCAAGGAGCGGUGAUUGGGCUGACGGAGGUGGCGAAGGCAAAACAUGUGGAGGAAUUUCACUCAGUCUUGAAAAUUCUGGAGACCGUUUUGGCCAAGUGUGGUGAAGGAAAGAGCUUCUUCGGAGGGGAUGACCUUGGCUAUGUCGACAUCGUCUUGGGUUCAUUCUUGAGUUGGAUUAGAGCAGCCGAGAUAUUAACGGAGCUUAAGUUUUUAGAUGAGGAGAAGACACCACUUUUGGUGAGCUGGGCUGAACGCUUCUGUGCUCAUUCCGCCGUCAAGGAUCUGAUACCGGAGCCGGAAAAGUUGGUUGAGAUUUCCCCGUUUGUCAAGGUGUUAUGGAAGUCAAAGAUAGAAGCAACCAUAGUUACCGCCGGAGGUGUCCUGCCAGCUUAAUAAAUGCAUUAAAAUUGAAAUGUUGUUUCACUUUCUACCUUUCUAGCUAUCAGGAGUGAAAAUUGUGAAUGAGUCAAUAAAUCAAUAACUUUAUUAUCUAAUAAAUUAAUUAACUUUUGCUUAUAAAAUCGAAUUGUCCAAACUCAAGACUUAUACUCGAACUUGUUUGGUUUACUGUAUAUCGAUUACAAAACUCAUCGUGUCCCACUCCGGUAAAUACUCGCCGGGGUAAGCCACCACAUACCAUUGUCGGAGAGAUUGGAGGAUGGUCGAAACCAAAGUUAUUGCUUGGAGAAGAUGGUCAGUGGAUCAUGAACAUGUACCUUGCAACCAAUCCGAGACCGAGAGCUUUACAGAGUUUAACGGAAAAAUAAUUCCAACUUCAUGAACAGUAAUGGUGGAACCAAAGUUACUGCUAGGAUUUGAUUUUAUAAUCCUUCCGUGAUGAAUUGGAACUUCCGUGAUGGAAGAGUCAACAUGUCAAAUUAAAUUUUUCUUUAAAAAUCCAUUAUCCCUUCUGAUCCAGUGAUCCAGUGAUCCUCAUGGCCGGAGAAGAUGUAAAGGUGUUGGGGUUCUGGUCGAGUUCUUUUGUGUUGCAGACAAGAAUUGCUCUGAAAAUCAAAGAUGUUUCCUAUGAGUACGUAGAGGAAGACCUGAUGAUGAACAAGAGUGAGCUUUUACUACAGUCCAACCCCAUCUACAAGAAAGUCCCGGUGCUUCUCCACGCCGGUCGUGCCAUAUGUGAGUCUCAGAUCAUCGUCGAAUACAUUGAUACCACCUGGAAUUCCCCGCCUAUCUUGCCGCUCGACCCUUAUGACCGCUCCUUCGCAAAGUUCUGGGCCGUCUUUAUAGAUGACAAGGCAUGGCAUGCACCACUACUACUCAUCAUUCUAUGUUUGAUUUUUCCAGCUUGGUCUGAUUAACGAGUUCAUUUAUCGAAUUAUAUAUUUACAGAUACCGUCAGCUAUUCAAGGAGCGGUGAUUGGGCUGACGGAGGUGGCG